This 193-nucleotide ribosomal RNA is filed under the name Salmonella enterica. Its description in RNAcentral is "partial 23S ribosomal RNA". It matches the Rfam family "Bacterial large subunit ribosomal RNA", at positions 1 to 194 of the family's 2925-position model. RNAcentral also lists the same sequence under 4 other names. Lineage: Bacteria; Pseudomonadati; Pseudomonadota; Gammaproteobacteria; Enterobacterales; Enterobacteriaceae. The record is from RNAcentral.
GGUUAAGCGACUAAGCGUACACGGUGGAUGCCCUGGCAGUCAGAGGCGAUGAAGGGCGUGCUAAUCUGCGAUAAGCGCCGGUAAGGUGAUAUGAACCGUUAUAACCGGCGAUACCCGAAUGGGGAAACCCAGUGUGACUCGUCACACUAUCAUUAACUGAAUCCAUAGGUUAAUGAGGCGAACCGGGGGAACU